Molecule: ribosomal RNA, 449 nt
Filed under: uncultured bacterium
Lineage: Bacteria
Description: partial 16S ribosomal RNA
Rfam family: Bacterial small subunit ribosomal RNA
Source: RNAcentral
AGCGAACGCUGGCGGCAGGCUUAACACAUGCAAGUCGAACGCCAUCUUCGGAUGGAGUGGCAGACGGGUGAGUAACGCGUGGAAACAUACCUUUUGCUUCGGAAUAUUCCCGGGAAACUGGGAGCAAUACCGAAUACGCCCUGAGGGGGAAAGAUUUAUCGGCAAAAGAUUGGUCCGCGUUAGAUUAGGUAGUUGGUAGGGUAAUGGCCUACCAAGCCUACGAUCUAUAGCUGGUUUGAGAGGAUGAUCAGCCACAUUGGGACGGAGACACGGCCCAAACUCUUACGGGAGGCAGCAGUGGGGAAUAUUGGACAAUGGGUGAAAGUCUGAUCCAGCCAUGCCGCGUGAAUGAUGAAGGCCUUAGGGUUGUAAAAUUCUUUCACCGGGGACGAUAAUGACGGUACCCGGAGAAGAAGCCCCGGCUAACUUCGUGCCAGCAGCCGCCGUAA